UGCGGGGUGGAGCAGUCUGGUAGCUCGUCGGACUCAUGAUCCGAAGGUCGUAGGUUCGAAUCCUACCCCCGCUACCA
RNAcentral lists this transfer RNA (77 nucleotides) under Myxococcales bacterium. Its description in RNAcentral is "tRNA-Met". It matches the Rfam family "tRNA". Rfam says of the family: Transfer RNA (tRNA) molecules are approximately 80 nucleotides in length. Their secondary structure includes four short double-helical elements and three loops (D, anti-codon, and T loops). The record is from RNAcentral. Lineage: Bacteria; Pseudomonadati; Myxococcota; Myxococcia; Myxococcales.